ACCUGGCAUACAAUGUAGAAAACUGUGUUUGCAAAGCAACAGCUACAUUGUCUGCUGGGUUUC
RNAcentral lists this microRNA precursor (63 nucleotides) under Xenopus laevis (African clawed frog). RNAcentral's name for it is "Xla-Mir-221-P2a3_pre stem-loop". It matches the Rfam family "mir-221 microRNA precursor family", at positions 11 to 73 of the family's 84-position model. The record is from RNAcentral. RNAcentral also lists the same sequence under 1 other name. Lineage: Eukaryota; Metazoa; Chordata; Amphibia; Anura; Pipidae.